AACAGGAUUAGAUACCCUGGUAGUCCACGCUGUAAACGAUGUCGACUUGGAGGUUGUGCCCUUGAGGCGUGGCUUCCGGAGCUAACGCGUUAAGUCGACCGCCUGGGGAGUACGGCCGCAAGGUUAAAACUCAAAUGAAUUGACGGGGGCCCGCACAAGCGGUGGAGCAUGUGGUUUAAUUCGAUGCAACGCGAAGAACCUUACCUACUCUUGACAUCCAGAGAAUUUGCUAGAGAUAGCUUAGUGCCUUCGGGAACUCUGAGACAGGUGCUGCAUGGCUGUCGUCAGCUCGUGUUGUGAAAUGUUGGGUUAAGUCCCGCAACGAGCGCAACCCUUAUCCUUUGUUGCCAGUACGUAAUGGUGGGAACUCAAAGGAGACUGCCGGUGAUAAACCGGAGGAAGGUGGGGAUGACGUCAAGUCAUCAUGGCCCUUACGAGUAGGGCUACACACGUGCUACAAUGGCAUAUACAAAGAGAAGCGAACUCGCGAGAGCAAGCGGACCUCAUAAAGUAUGUCGUAGUCCGGAUUGGAGUCUGCAACUCGACUCCAUGAAGUCGGAAUCGCUAGUAAUCGUAGAUCAGAAUGCUACGGUGAAUACGUUCCCGGGCCUUGUACACACCGCCCGUCACACCAUGGGAGUGGGUUGCAAAAGAAGUAGGUAGCUUAACCUUCGGGAGGGCGCUUACCACUUUGUGAUUCAUGACUGGGGUGAAGUCGUAACAAGGUAACC
Molecule: ribosomal RNA, 731 nt
Filed under: uncultured bacterium
Lineage: Bacteria
Description: bacterial SSU rRNA
Rfam family: Bacterial small subunit ribosomal RNA
Source: RNAcentral